GUUGCCUUAUGGAGUUUUUGAAUGGUUCUGACCUGUUCUCAUCAACUACUACAAUAACAUAUAUAAUUAUCAGGAACGAAUGCAGGAAUUUGGGAACUGA
RNAcentral lists this small RNA (100 nucleotides) under Pan troglodytes (chimpanzee). Its description in RNAcentral is "processed transcript". Lineage: Eukaryota; Metazoa; Chordata; Mammalia; Primates; Hominidae. The record is from RNAcentral.